This 3505-nucleotide long non-coding RNA is filed under the name Gallus gallus (chicken). RNAcentral's name for it is "lncRNA (ENSGALG00010007481.1)". Lineage: Eukaryota; Metazoa; Chordata; Aves; Galliformes; Phasianidae. The record is from RNAcentral.
UUCCUUCCUUCCUUCCCUCCUCUCUCCGUCCCUCCGUCCCUCCCUCCUUCCCUUCCUUAAUUCUGGGUUAUGUCUUUACUAAGACAAUUUUGAAUUUUGGAUUUGUUUACCAGUCUUCUAUAACCCUUCAGUAACCCUAACACAUCUACAGAUUUUAUCCAUUAACUUUGAAGUGCAUAUGUUUAAUGAAAUGUUGAAGACAGUUGGGCCUGAAAUCUCAGAGGAAACCAGCUUGAAAGGAAGACCCUUUUUGGUACUGACAGCUAUUCUUACAGAAGAGCUUUUCAGACCACAUACUGUCUUUUAUGAUUUUUUUCAUCCAGAUGACAUUUCUCUUAUUUUCCUCUGAUAAUUGAAUAUGUAAAAUACAAAAAGCCUCCUUGAACUCAGAACAUGGCAAAUUUUGUUUUUCUUUAUUCAGUAUUCCAGUUAUCCUGUCCAAGAAGGAAAUUAACUUGGUUUGACAUAAUUUGUUCUUGAAAAGUCUAUUUUGGCUAUUUUUAUUAUUCUGCAUAAUUACCAUUGGAACAGUACAGUUGGAAGGAACCCACAAAGAUCAUCGUGUCCCUGCUGCCUGACUGCUGGAGGGCUAACCAAAAGUGAAAGCACGUCAUUAGUAAGGGCAUUAUCCAAACUUCUUGAAUGCAGAAGCCUUGUAAGAUUGAACAGCCCCAAGUGUCUCAGCCUUUCUUAUAAGGGAGAUGCUCCAGACUCCUCGUCAUCUGUGUGGCUCUCUACUGGACUCUCUCCAGCAGUUCCCUGUCUUCCUUGAACUGGGAGCUCAAAAGCUGUUGUUUUCAAGAAAUUAAUGAGUUUGAAAAUGAAAAUAAAUUCCUCACUGAAUAUUUGUUACACUGUUGUCAGUUUUUCAGAAGCUUCAAUGUUCAGAUUCUUUAACAGUAGGGGAAAUCUUCAAAAAGCAAAUAGGUUUUUUAAAAGACAGAUAUAUUUGGAAAAUUUAUGUCUUAUUUUUUCUUUUUCUUUUUCUUUUUUUUCCCUUUUUUUCUUUUCUUGUAGUGCCAUGGGAAAUAGCGGGAGGCAAUAUGAGAUGUUUUAGCUAUAAAUGUCUGUCUUAUGAACAUCUUACUGAAGAUGCUAUGAGCUUCUUAGACAUAUAGACUAAGAAGUGCCAUCCAGAGGAGGUCCAUGUGCAAAAUUUAGCAUUCUAAUUUCUGAUCUACAUGUAAAUAUUCCCUGGAAAAUGUAUAUACAUUACAAUAAUUUGUAAAAGCAGGCUUGUUGUGUGUGGCAGAUUUACUGUGGAUACUACUGUUUCUCUGAAAUAGUGCUACAACUGAAAACGCAACAUCAAAAUUGAAGCAGAAGACGGCUAGCAUUUGGGUCCCAAACUGAUUUGAAAGUGUCACAUGGUCUGGAAUGUCUUUUUCAGUGUUUUUUGUUUUUUUUUUCCACUGUGCUACUGGAUCUUCUAGUACAGCAGCAAACUGAUCUACUUGCGCGAAUAGUUUCAAAGUCACAGGGUUUUAGAAAGCACCAAUGAUACCUAGUAUUGUUGCUGUAAUUUCAGAAAUGUUAUAAGUCAGGGUUUUUCUUCAUCAUUAAAACAUGUUAUGUUGUUAAGUUAGAAGAAUACUACAGGAUGUGGAUCCUGUUGUUUGGAAAACAAGGAAUUGAGGUGUGAGAAAUUAAUGGAAAUUCACAUUUACAGGAAAAAAAAAAAAGCCUAGUUUCUGGAAUGGUACUGGAAAUUGUUUGCUGAAUGGUUGUUAAGAAGUUUAAUGUUUCCUGUAUGUUAGUCUGUCUUUAGACCUGAAAAUAAUGUUGUCUGCUUUUUUAUUUAUAUGUGACAAGACUUAGAAGUAUCUUUGAUUCAUGAGCAGAAACAGCAGAAAGAAGAUGAUAAAGAAUAACUCUGGUUAUAAAUUAAAGUUAAUAGACUUUUUUUUUCUUUUAAACCCACACCUUUUGUUAACAGAAUUUUUUCUGCAUUGUUACUGAUGCCUUCAUGCCUGAGAAGUUUUAUUUGCCUGUGUGCAAAUGGAGCAACUGUAUGAAAUUAAAGUAAAAUGCUGCUCUAACUUAGCUGUUAGGUUGCAAAGUUAGCACACUGAUUUUUUUCUUCUGGUACAUGUUCUUUUUAUAAAGGAACUUUAUCUUGUGGCUAUUGAUAUAUUGCAGAUGUAAAUUUUAUUAGACAGUAUAGGAAGAAAAUAAUAGAAUCUAUGAACAGGCAGUCACUAUCAGCAAAUUCUAUUAGCAAACAGAUAAAUUUCAAGCCAGCUUAUUGUUUUUUAGAGAGGUUUUGAUUAUUUCAGGAGACCAAAAUUGACUUAGGUAAGAUUAUCCUCAUCACUUAGAUUGAAAGAGAGUACUUUGCACUGACUAGAAAAGGAUGUAAAGUUUUACGUAUGUGUUUUUGUAUGUGUCCUGAUUCACAAGCAAAACAAUGAGCACUAGGCACAAUAAGAUGUAAAUAACCCUGUCAGGUCUUGGUGGCAAGUGUCAGUCUUCUCCUAGAGCUGGGUAGUGCACACACCCUCCACAGCACUAUUUAAUGUCACAGUCAAGACACCUCCAGAUGCCAGUAAAAUGUCAGGACGUCUUAGUCCUUUUAGGAAAACUAAUUUAUUGAACACUGCUGUAGGACAAUAUAUAGGAAAUAUAUGCCAGGAAAUAACUGGUACUGGAAACAGACAAAAGCAGUGAGAAAAGGUAAAGGAGGUGGAUGUUGACACAGGUUCCCGGUAUAGACUAGAUAGAUGAGAGUUAUAAACUGGAGGCAGUAUCACUAUCUCACCUGUGCUGCCACUGCAGCUAGUUAAUGAGGUAAUUUCAUAUAUUCUUUGAAUGCAAAACAGAAUAGAAGCAUUACUGUUGAAUUUUCUUUAAGGCUCAGGCACCUGCUCAGUGCUUUGUGCAUGCUGCUGCCAACAGUUUACAUUAUAGAAGUACCACUGUUUUGAUCAAUUGCUUGUUGUCCUAAUAAGGGUGCGUACAACCUCUGCUUUGCAAGAGUACUACAAAAUAAACAGUUUUUUGAAUCCAACAAAUCUCAGUUUUAAAAGCUUUUGUAAAUCAAUUUGGUUAUGUCAUAUAGUUUCAUUGGAAAAUGUGAAAACAACACUUGUUACAGUGAGCUAAGCUUGCAAAGGGCAGCAUGCUAUUAUUUUUACAGGCCAAUACUUUCCAUUUUCAGUUCCUGGGGCUCGCAAUUGGGUUUGAAUGACAAAUAUUUUGCACAUGACCGUGUAGGUGCAUAAGUGUUCAGCUACAGGCGUAGGGCCCCAGGGACACACACAGUCCUGCAGGGCUCUUGAAUGUCCCUGCAACCUUUGACUGAAGGCUUCAUUUGCCCAGUUCCAAGUUUCUGGUGCCUGACUGAGCCCUGAUACUGUGGUACUGGCCCCUAGUCCUGUUCCCGGUUAUUCACUGAGUUUCCUGAGUGGACUUUGGCCAUGACUUGUCACCUACCAGUUCUGCUUGCCUGCCACUAGGUCAGUGACAUCACCUGUGGGUGCAGGCAGCACCCAAACCUCACAACAAG